This 694-nucleotide ribosomal RNA is filed under the name uncultured Gammaproteobacteria bacterium. RNAcentral describes it as "bacterial SSU rRNA". It matches the Rfam family "Bacterial small subunit ribosomal RNA", at positions 67 to 756 of the family's 1533-position model. Lineage: Bacteria; Pseudomonadati; Pseudomonadota; Gammaproteobacteria. The record is from RNAcentral.
CGAGAAAGCGCCUUCGGGUGUGAGUAAAGUGGCGGACGGGUGAGUAACGCGUAGGAAUCUGCCUAGCAGUGGGGGACAACUCGGGGAAACUCGAGCUAAUACCGCAUAACAUCUACGGAUCAAAGUGGGGGAUCUUCGGACCUCACGCUGUUAGAGGAGCCUGCGUUGGAUUAGCUUGUUGGUGGGGUAAUGGCCUACCAAGGCGACGAUCCAUAGCUGGUCUGAGAGGACGAUCAGCCACACUGGAACUGAGACACGGUCCAGACUCCUACGGGAGGCAGCAGUAGGGAAUCUUGGGCAAUGGGCGAAAGCCUGACCCAGCGAUGCCGCGUGUGUGAAGAAGGCCUUCGGGUUGUAAAGCACUUUCAGCAGCGAAGAAAGGUCGGGAGUUAAUAGCUCCCAGGCUUUGACGUUAACUGCAGAAGAAGUACCGGCUAACUCCGUGCCAGCAGCCGCGGUAAUACGGAGGGUACGAACGUUAAUCGGAAUUACUGGGCGUAAAGCGCGCGUAGGCGGUUCGGCAAGUGGGAUGUGAAAGCCCCGGGCUUAACCUGGGAACUGCAUUCCAAACUGCCGGGCUAGAGUAUGGUAGAGGGAGGUAGAAUUUCCUGUGUAGCGGUGAAAUGCGUAGAUAUAGGAAGGAAUACCGGUGGCGAAGGCGGCCUCCUGGACCAAUACUGACGCUGAGGUGCGA